GCCGAGGUGGCGGAAUUGGUAGACGCACUGGCUUCAGGUGCCAGCGGGGGCAACCCCGUGAAGGUUCAAGUCCUUUCCUCGGCACCA
This 87-nucleotide transfer RNA is filed under the name Gammaproteobacteria bacterium. RNAcentral's name for it is "tRNA-Leu". It matches the Rfam family "tRNA". From Rfam's summary of the family: Transfer RNA (tRNA) molecules are approximately 80 nucleotides in length. Their secondary structure includes four short double-helical elements and three loops (D, anti-codon, and T loops). The record is from RNAcentral. Lineage: Bacteria; Pseudomonadati; Pseudomonadota; Gammaproteobacteria.